GGACGAACGCUGGCGGCAUGCCUAAUACAUGCAAGUCGAGCGGASUUGAWRAGAAGCUUGCUUCUYUGAURGUUAGCGGCGGACGGGUGAGUAACACGUAGGCAACCUGCCCUCAAGUUUGGGACAACUACCGGAAACGGUAGCUAAUACCGAAUAAUUGUUUUCUUCGCCUGAAGGAAACUGGAAAGACGGAGCAAUCUGUCACUUGGGGAUGGGCCUGCGGCGCAUUAGCUAGUUGGUGAGGUAACGGCUCACCAAGGCGACGAUGCGUAGCCGACCUGAGAGGGUGAUCGGCCACACUGGGACUGAGACACGGCCCAGACUCCUACGGGAGGCAGCAGUAGGGAAUCUUCCGCAAUGGGCGAAAGCCUGACGGAGCAAUGCCGCGUGAGUGAUGAAGGUUUUCGGAUCGUAAAGCUCUGUUGCCAGGGAAGAACGCUUGGGAGAGUAACUGCUCUCAAGGUGACGGUACCUGAGAAGAAAGCCCCGGCUAACUAC
RNAcentral lists this ribosomal RNA (498 nucleotides) under Paenibacillus amylolyticus. RNAcentral's name for it is "bacterial SSU rRNA". It matches the Rfam family "Bacterial small subunit ribosomal RNA", at positions 27 to 504 of the family's 1533-position model. The record is from RNAcentral. Lineage: Bacteria; Bacillati; Bacillota; Bacilli; Caryophanales; Paenibacillaceae.